This 1821-nucleotide long non-coding RNA is filed under the name Equus asinus (donkey). RNAcentral's name for it is "lncRNA (ENSEASG00005026812.1)". Lineage: Eukaryota; Metazoa; Chordata; Mammalia; Perissodactyla; Equidae. The record is from RNAcentral.
CUUUUAUUUUCUGUCUUCUUUGCCUUCAAGUGUCAAUUGGCUCCUCUCAGUCACAGCUGUACAAAUCACAGGAUUUUUUUUUUUAUUGGCAUAAGACAUAUGCAUUAUUCAUCUAUUCAGUUUCAUCUGAAGGAAAUCCAAAAAAGACACAACUUUACCUUCCAAAGAAAUAUUUAAAGCUGCUUUUUCCCUGCGAGAAAGUAGGCAGAAAACUUCAUCCAUGAUCUACAGCGUACCACUGAACUCACAGCUGGGCAGCUCAAACGACAGAUGGAGAGAAUUUCUGGGAUCUCACAUUUCAGGAGUGGCAAGGAGGGAGGCAGCUGAUGCUGAAAAAGACCUUAAAUUCAAGUAAUAUGGUGCACCCAGAACACCCUUCAACAGCUUCAGGCAAGUGAAAACAUUUAUUGAGCAUCUACUUGAUGCCCAGCAUUGUGCUAGGUGCUGGGGAUGCAAGAACAAUCGUGGUGGACUGCUCCCUGUCCUCAUGCAAUCAACAGGAAUCCUGUUACCAGAAGCAGCAGAGGAAAAGGGACCCUAGGAGAUCAUCAGCUGGAAGACUGCAGGAUUACAGCUGCCUCAGUCCGGAUCCCAACGGCACAACUACUUCCAAAACUGUCUCCCGGUGAGGCAGCUAAGAUGCGGAGAGAAGAAAUGGGGAGUCAGGAGCUCCAGCCCUGUGUGUCCAGGGUACGUAUGUAAAAAGGCAACCUAAAUUCAGAUUUAAAGCUUCUUGUUGCCCAGGAUGUGCUGGACGCAGACAUCAAGCAUGGGAGGUAGAUAUCCUCCCUGCUUUUCAGAUGAGGAAACUGCCCAUCAGAAAGUCAAGCGACGCCCCGUGCACGCCUGGUUGGUGCCGGAGGCAGGAUGGAAAGCCUGGUCCUGCUGACUCCAGGACCUUCCUCUCCCCACAGGGGCUUGUAACAUGCCCCAAAAUCAACAAAUAAGCCAAAAAUAAAUCCAAUCUCAAAGCAAAAAUAGUCUUUCUUUUUCUAGUUUCCUCCAGUUGUGAAAGAAAAACAAGACUUUGGAGUUCCAUUUAUAAGGAUAAAAUUUCCUGUGAUUUGUGAAAAUGGUAAAAGUAUAUACAGCUGUAUAAGGUCUCACCGUGGCACCUGAGUCCGGCAUGUUUCCUUACUUGAUAUACACGUCUUCCUUUGUCCUGCACUUCACAUUUGAUCUACAAGACGUAAAUUCUUCGAGGGAUAAAAGACUUGGUGAGCACAGAAUCAAAAACCAAUAAAGGGAUUUUUUUGUUUUUUUUUUAAAUGUUCUUGCUAACAUAGAAAGGCUUACAGGUAGACCACUCAACCUAACAUGAUGCCCUGUGAGGUGUCGGGUAUAAGGUGAGCAAGUGGGCUCUGUGAAAACAACUCCAAGAUGCAGAGGAAAAGAACUCUGGAGUGAGGUGCUGUGAACAACGCUCUUAGCAAACAGAAUUAUUUUUGAUGUUGUUUCCACCUGGCUGAUGAUUGUUUUAGAGCAAGUCUCCUGUCACGGCCUGGCAUUGGAUCUGCAGAAUUCCUUAACAGACACUGGGCCGGCAGGCAGGAAGACAUCACACGCCCGGCGAAGAUACAAAACGUCCGGGGCAUUGCCAUGACUCUCAAGGUGUUGUUUAGAGUUCAUGUGAGUACUUCUAAAAAUACGAUGGGAUGGCCUUUCCGAGCUUGUUUCCUUUAGAUGCUAGACCAUCAAUCAACAGACGAGAAACAGCUAUUAGAAGAUAAGUUUGAGAAAAAUGUACAAUAUUUAAUCAGUCCUUACUGUGUGGUUUUUCUGUGCUGAAUCUCCCAUUCAACAUUCAGCCCCAAAUUCUAC